UUGUCUUCCAUAUUGAUGAACCACGAUUCUCCCCAUUGUCUUCCCCAAGCUUUAUAGUUCUCUCACAACGCCAUUGUCUCUCUCAAUUUUCAACUUUGUUUUCUCCAUAAAGUUGUGGGUUUCUGCGGAAUACUUAAAAUUUUCUCUUCAAUGGCUGAUUCAACAAUUCGGAAAAGGAUUACCCGAGGUUCAUCAGCAACCAUUGAAGCUGAAAGGAAAACAAAAAUAUGCAAUGACCCUAUGAAACAAGGUCAAGAUGAGAAAUCAUCGAAAAAAUCAACACUUCCUGAUGUGGAAAAGAGAAGAAAACUUAUGGAUGAUGCUUCUGGGAGCUAGGGAAGAGAGGUCGGAAAUACAGAAUGACAAGGGAUUGUGGUUUGUAUAUCGCAGCAUAUGCAGAGUAUUUGAGCACUUAUGGAUUGGUUCCACAAACAACCUUUGAUGCUAAUUAAUUUACUCCGUCAAAGAUAUGGUUCCCUCCUUUGGGACUAUGCUAUGCGGAAAGUUAGACGUCGAUGUGAUAAGCGACAAUGAAGCACAUGCAAAGAUUAUUAGGCAAAUCACAUAAUCGAAUACUUCUGUGAAGAAAGUUUUAGAAUAGUUUUCUGUUAUACGGAUUGUAUUUUCAGCUUAUUACUGAAUUGAUCAUGGUUUUACGCAACUUUUUAAAUUUUGAAUACA
Long non-coding RNA from Nicotiana tabacum (common tobacco), 681 nucleotides. RefSeq lists it as uncharacterized. Lineage: Eukaryota; Viridiplantae; Streptophyta; Magnoliopsida; Solanales; Solanaceae. The record is from RefSeq and is a predicted model, not a curated record.